GGAACUUCCGCAAUGGACGAAAGUCUGACGGAGCACGCCGCGUGAGUGAUGAAGGUUUUCGGAUCGUAAAGCUCUGUUGUUAGGGAAGAACAAGUACCGUUCGAAUAGGGCGGUACCUUGACGGUACCUAACCAGAAAGCCACGGCUAACUACGUGCCAGCAGCCGCGGUAAUACGUAGGUGGCAAGCGUUGUCCGGAAUUAUUGGGCGUAAAGGGCUCGCAGGCGGUUUCUUAAGUCUGAUGUGAAAGCCCCCGGCUCAACCGGGGAGGGUCAUUGGAAACUGGGGAACUUGAGUGCAGAAGAGGAGAGUGGAAUUCCACGUGUAGCGGUGAAAUGCGUAGAGAUGUGGAGGAACACCAGUGGCGAAGGCGACUCUCUGGUCUGUAACUGACGCUGAGGAGCGAAAGCGUGGGGAGCGAACAGGAUUAAAUACCCUGGUAGUCCCACCGUAAACGAUGAGUGCUAAGUGUUAGGGGGUUCCCCCCCUUAGUGCUGCACUUAACCCAUUAAGCCCUCCCCUGGGGAAUACGGUCGCAAGACUGAACUCAAAGGAAUUGACGGGGCCCGCACAAGCGGUGGAGCAUGUGGUUNAUUNGNAGCAACGCGAAGNACCUUACCAGGUCUUGACAUCCUNUGACAAUUCCUAGAGAUAGGACGUCCCCUUCGGGGGCAGAGUGACAGGUGGUGCAUGGUUGUCGUCAGCUCGUGUCGUGAGAUGUUGGGUUAAGUCCCGCAACGAGCGCAACCCUUGAUCUUAGUUGCCAGCAUUCAGUUGGGCACUCUAAGGUGACUGCCGGUGACAAACCGGAGGAAGGUGGGGAUGACGUCAAAUCAUCAUGCCCCUUAUGACCUGGGCUACACACGUGCUACAAUGGACAGAACAAAGGGCAGCGAAACCGCGAGGUUAAGCCAAUCCCACAAAUCUGUUCUCAGUUCGGAUCGCAGUCUGCAACUCGACUGCGUGAAGCUGGAAUCGCUAGAAUCGCGGAUCAGCAUGCCGCGGGAAC
Molecule: ribosomal RNA, 1008 nt
Filed under: Bacillus spizizenii
Lineage: Bacteria; Bacillati; Bacillota; Bacilli; Caryophanales; Bacillaceae
Description: bacterial SSU rRNA
Rfam family: Bacterial small subunit ribosomal RNA
Source: RNAcentral